Camelina sativa (false flax) is the source of this 606-nucleotide non-coding RNA. The record is from RefSeq and is a predicted model, not a curated record. Lineage: Eukaryota; Viridiplantae; Streptophyta; Magnoliopsida; Brassicales; Brassicaceae.
AGGUUGAGUAGGUCUUCCCGCUACUUUAUCACCUACUUUGAUUUCACGUUACCAGUUCACGGACAUGAUUGUGAUUGUGUGUCUAUUUUUUUAUUUGUAUUUGCAAAGUUGAUAAGAAUAAAUACCAGAUGAUUCAGAUUCUUCUACCUCCAAAACUCGACUUCAGUGUGUUUUUCUGCUCUAAUUAGUCUCUUUGUAUUAUUAACCAAUAACCAUAUUCUUUCUUUCUUUUUCUAUGCAAGCUGAAAAAUUAACUACAUAAGUCGCAAGUCCUGUUCACCUUUGAUUACAAGUUUCAGCAGCUAAAGCAGAAAAGAGGAAGAAGAAACGCCAGUCGGGAAAGAAGAAGAUAAAAACAAUGUCGUUUUAGCCAAAAAAAACUUUUUUUUUGUUUCUCAAAACGACGUCGUUUUUUACGUGGCCUCCACGUAAUCAGCCGUUAACAGUCUCUUAACAUCGUUAUACAUUGUGUAUGUUUAAACACUGUUUUACAAGUUGGAUAGUGAAUUUGAAUUUUAUUGAACUUAUUGUAUGAAUUUGCUCAAUAUUAAAGCUAGAGCAGGAAUUCAACAUACUCCAUUAACUGGGGUAUGAAAUUAUCGAUUU